Molecule: ribosomal RNA, 410 nt
Filed under: Bacteroidota bacterium
Lineage: Bacteria; Pseudomonadati; Bacteroidota
Description: Bacteroidetes bacterium partial 16S ribosomal RNA
Rfam family: Bacterial small subunit ribosomal RNA
Source: RNAcentral
UGGGGAAUAUUGCGCAAUGGGGGAAACCCUGACGCAGCGACGCCGCGUGCGGGAUGAAGGCCUUCGGGUUGUAAACCGCUUUUGAUUGGGAGCAAGCUUUCGGGUGAGUGUACCUUUCGAAUAAGCGCCGGCUAACUACGUGCCAGCAGCCGCGGUAAUACGUAUGGACCGAGCGUUGUCCGGAAUCAUUGGGCGUAAAGGGUACGUAGGCGGCCCAGUAAGUUAGAAGUGAAAUAAUAUAGCUCAACUAUAUAAAGCUUUUAAAACUGCUAGGCUUGAGAGAUGGAAGGGAAAGUGGAAUUCCUAGUGUAGCGGUGAAAUGCGCAGAUAUUAGGAAGAAUACCGGUGGCGAAGGCGACUUUCUGGUCAUCAUCUGACGCUGAGGUACGAAAGCGUGGGUAGCAAACAGG